UAGCGCACAUAAGGAGAAUCCACUGCCUAAACCCCCAUAACAAGUGAUAACAAAAAAUCGUCUAAUUAAUUUGACUUAUCUAUAACUUAUUCAAGUUUCAUAAAAAGACACCCUUAUUGUUUCUAGUAGGACAUUGAGCCAUGACUUUUUUCAUCUCCCAUUCAUACAGUAAAAAAAAUAAGAGCUUUCCGAGAACCACAUGUUUUCUUCUAUAAAACUGAACUCAACAAAACAAUUAACACUAAUAAUUUGCUUCACUGGGAAGAGAAUAUUUUUGUCAAUUAAUAAUUGCAAUAACGCGACCCCAUCCACGAAGCACUAAGUAUUUUCCAAAGCCGACGACAUCUUCCAUUUUGUCAGAAUUUUCGCCAUUUCGUGAAUUAGUCGCAUCAGAAGUUCGAGUGGUGUGUAAUAACAUGAGAAAUAGCGUUUGAACGAUCUUUGUCCACAAUACGAGGCAGAACGACAAGAAGUGAUCGACUUCGGGGUGAAAGACAACAUUGAAGUAAGGAGAUCGUUAAGAAUGCUUCUCCGUGAGUGUUAGGUAUGCUGAAGUAUGGUAUUGGGAUUUUCACUUGGGACAAUGAACUCAGAGGACCACUAUUUAGUUGAGAGAGUGGUACGGAGGCUCAAAUUCCACACAAUAAUAUAAGCAUGUGGAGAGCCUACACUCUCACAAGGUUCAGCGAAGUAAAAUAAAACAAAUGACUUGGUGAACUCAUCGCGCGAUAAUUUUGUGCCGGGAGAAGAACUUUUGUAGUGUGAAUCGAUUGAAUGGGAUAUUUUCGUUUUUUUCUCGUGAUAGUGUUUGCAGAAAGGAGUGCAAUGAAGUUUCUAGUGGAGUGUUGAUGUCAAACGACUAUGAAAAUGUCUUGUGGUCGAGGAUAUCCAAGCUCUAUGCAUAAGCUAAAGCACUUCCAAUUAAAUUAAACAAUUCCAAUUCCAUUAAAAAUUCAAACAAAAAGUGUCGAGUAAAUACUUUGCACAAGAACAACCUAAAAUAAUAAAAUCAUUGUCAAAUACCAUAAACUUCAAAAUAGAACAGUACUUGGAUAUUCUCUGGUGAACUAGUGUUGUGUUUUAUCACUGAACGAGUCAAGGUCAAGUGUCUGGAAGGUGCUCACAUCUAGAAGACUACCGGCAGACCGUUGCAGAGAUAAAAAAAACUUGUUUUUAUCUAACACCGUUUGCCCUCACCCACCGUCAACGCCGACGCUCGACUCGGCCUUGAGGCGAUUAAAGGUGUCCGAGACUUGUAGCAAACGGGUUCAGGAAACUCCGUGCUCCUCAAACCGUGGCACGAGUAAAGAGACCCACAGCCGGAUGGUGAAGAUCGGAUAACUUUGUAAUAUAAGUGGGGGGGGAUUGGUUGAUUCUCCUCGGCGUUACGCUACGAUUGGGUACAAUCCGUAUAUACUGGAAUACUUGUUUUGUCAGUAUGCGGUGAAAAUGUACGUAAUAUACGCGAGCGUGGAGAGUGGAGGCGCAGCUAUUACGGGCAUUGACUCUAUUAAACCGGAAUUUUCAACCUAAUCCUCAUUCAAAGGUGUCCACAA
Diachasmimorpha longicaudata is the source of this 1556-nucleotide long non-coding RNA. RefSeq lists it as uncharacterized. Lineage: Eukaryota; Metazoa; Arthropoda; Insecta; Hymenoptera; Braconidae. The record is from RefSeq and is a predicted model, not a curated record. The transcript has 3 exons.